UACGUAGGAUCCAAGCGUUGUCCGGAUUUACUGGGUGUAAAGGGUGCGCAGGCGGACUUAUAAGUCAGUGGUGAAAUCUCACGGCUCAACCGUGAAACUGCCUUUGAUACUGUAGGUCUUGAAUUAGGGAGAGAUUCGUGGAAUUCCGAGUGUAGCAGUGGAAUGUGUAGAUAUUCGGAAGAACACCAGUGGCGAAGGCAGCGAAUUGGCCCUAUAUUGACGCUCAGGCACGAAAGCAUGGGGAUCAAACAGG
This 253-nucleotide ribosomal RNA is filed under the name uncultured bacterium. Its description in RNAcentral is "partial 16S ribosomal RNA". It matches the Rfam family "Bacterial small subunit ribosomal RNA", at positions 524 to 776 of the family's 1533-position model. The record is from RNAcentral.